CCCAGAACUGCCGCUUAGUCAUUCAAGGGUUUAAUCCACCUUCCGUCUGUGAAAAUAAACGAGGAAGCGCAAACACUUCUAUACGCGUCUCUAAUCAUCUGUGUUAAUUCAACGACGAAAUUAAACAAAGCAGGUUAAGAAGUUACUCGAGUGCAACGAGUAGAAGGGUCGGUAAGCUGUUUUCUUUAAAGGGCUAAUUUAAUGAAUGCGAAAGACCGACGUACCGAUGUCUAGCAAAGUGUAUAGUCUUGUCCACAUACCUGUUAAAAUAAGCCAUCAGCUGAAAAGCUGUGUUGAGGUUUAUAGUUGUAGUAGUUGGGCCUGGUCCGCUGUAAUUGUCACUGGGGGCUGUAGAUGUCGCUGCCGGGGUACUGCUGAUUUUUCCUCCGUUUUUUGGUGCAUGGGAGUAAAAUCGGACUCCGGUCGCCGGGAUUCGAACCCGGGUUCCGAACGUUCGCAACCUAAGAUGUUAACCACUGCGCUGCCGUCGUCAGACACUAGUUAGUGUCGAGUGGUGGUAUUUGGCUUGUCGAGUGCCACCACAAGACAUUUCAGGUAUUUCACUAUUACACGUUCGUAAUAUUUAUCAAGUCUGCACAUAUACCGAAAGAAUGUAGAAAAUAUCGAAAAUUCAUGAAAAUGCCGCUCGAUGAAAUCCUAAUUAAAUUACAUAUGUGUUCUUAACGAGAUCAUCAUCCUGAAGGAUCUUGGACUUAUACUCGCACCCAUCUUAUCGUUUGCGGAGCAUUAUGAGCAUAUUACAUCGUUGGCUUGGCGAGCUCUUGGUCUCAUUAUAAGAAUGUCCACGUGACGCAUGUUAUCUUCAUUGAGAGGAUUCAACGUGGAUCCGUAGGUUCUCUUUCCCACAAAAUUGGAAAUUUCAUUCUCAUCUCUUGCCAUAACUACGACCAGUUGCUAACGCCCCUCGGAUUAAUUCCUUGUAAUACCUAUUAUCCCUGGGAGCAACGUAGAUUCACAGCUGAUGCCAUAUUCGUAUAUAAAAUGGUAAAGCGUUACAUUAGCUGCCCAGAGGUUCUUCAGUUUGUUAAGCUUACUACUCCAUCCGGGAUUUACGAGAGUUUCUCAAUUUUCCACGCAUCGUUAUGCAGAACCAGUUACGCUCCUAGUAACUGCAUUAAUCGCGUUUACAAACAUGCUAAUAUACUCGUCCACCGAUUACACUCCUUUUGAGAAAGAACUUGAGAAAAAUGUUAGAAACCCAGUGUGUAAUUCACUGAUACGUCCGCGCACUAUUUCUGACUUGUUAUCACUACCAAUGACAAUUAUUUAUUCAUUUAUA
This 1300-nucleotide unclassified non-coding RNA is filed under the name Bombus terrestris (buff-tailed bumblebee). Its description in RNAcentral is "misc RNA ENSBTSG00005036364.1". Lineage: Eukaryota; Metazoa; Arthropoda; Insecta; Hymenoptera; Apidae. The record is from RNAcentral.